GGAAAGUGAGAGGGAGGGAAGGAAAAGGGGAGUAGGGGGGCUGGUAGACAGAGACACUCAGGGACAGACUACAGAAUAUCUGGAAACCGACCAGAUUUGUUGAAUGUCAGUUUGAGAAGGAAGCCUGAGCUAUGAUUUAAACGCCAACCGAUUCAUUGUCAUCCAUGAUCUCCGCCACCAUCACCCCCUCCUUCUUCCUUCCUGUCUGUCCCUCUUUCUCUCUUUUGUAGGAUACAGAAGGUGAAUAAUGAAACCAUUUUGCUAAUAGUUUAUGAGCCAUGAGAUUGGAAAUGUAUAUGGAUAGACCGAAGCGCCAGACUAAAAUCACUUGAGAGGAGCGCAGGGCUUUGCAGAGAAGAAACGCUCUGCGUCCUCCCUCCCCAGUCCAGAGGAGAGAAGAAAGAAAGGGGUGGAAUCGUGUCUUUCCUUUUCCCCUCGUCCUUCCGCCCAGGGUAGCAAAAGCAGGGUCCCAGUGGGAUCACUCAAUGAGAAACAACCCCAGACCCUACUCAGUCUUCCCGGGGGUCUGAAGCAGGAGCGAGAUGAAUUAGGAAGAUGGGGAGAUAGAGAAAGCGAGAGAUAAUCGUUAUCACCAGGAUUUUUCUGCCGCUGAUGGGAUCUAAAAAGAUCCAUCACACCCGGCUGCUUUCCCUUAGGCAGAAAACAAAAGAAUCGAGCUGCAUCUGGAGAAAGUAAAAUGGGGAAGGGUUUCUUCUAUCUUUUUCUCAAGUAGCUGUUCCCCCAAAUAAGUCCUUAAGACUCCUGGAAAUACAUCUAAGGUUCCCUCUCCCAAGAAAUACUGCCCUCUUCCUUCCUAUACAAAGAAUUUCUUGCCCCUUUUUGUUUUAAUGUUUCCAAAGCUUUGAAGCAUUUUCCUGAAAAUUGAGGUGAUGGUGGUGGCAAGAACUGUGACAAUCACAGGAUAGCUCACAGUGAUCAUGGUAGCUGGUUUUAGCCAUCUGGUUUCUACAGACUGGACUAAAGGUGUAAGGGGUAUAAGAGUUCCUGGGGCUCCAAACACUCAGGAAAGGCCAAUGACCAGUAAGAGACCGUCCCACCUCUGGCCUGGUUUUCUUGGGGAAAGGGAGGGAGGAGGAAGGGUGGGGUCAGAGAGUAGGAGAGGGAAAGCACACCCGAUCUCUGUUUUCCAAGAUAGGUCAAUUGUUCCCAGCAGGACUGCCGUGACAGCUGCUACUAUCUACAGGGGGGAAGAAAACGGCAAGAUCCCGAAGCCAGACUUAUACUCGCUAGUUGUUGAGAGAGCGGAUCCUGCAGGCAGGCCAACCAUGUGAGUCCGCGCCGCAGACACACUCCGCACAGGCAGGCUGCGAGCAGCCGCAAGUGAAUGCGCGCACUCGUCCUUGUCCCUGUCUGUGUCCCCGCUCACUUCCCUGCUUCUCCCACUCCUCCUCUGCCCUUUUCACCUUGCUUCACCCUUUUCUUCUCAUUCGUUCUGUAUUCACUCUCCGUCUCCGCUGGUUCGCAUUCUCUGAUCUUUCUCUCCCCCCUCCCACUCCGAUCUCAACUCUGUCCAGUUUGCGUCUUAAAAAAAAAAAAAAAAAAAAAAAAAAAGCAAGUCACACUUUCUUUUAAAGGAGAGAAAAAGCAUGAAUCAAUGUAAUAGAGAUAAAAGGAACUCAGGCAAGGGAGGACUGGGAGCAGAAGCCGGUUAGGUGGCGGGAAGGAUUUUUUUUUUUUUUUUUUCCCAAUGCACGGGAGUAAAUAUGGGAGAUGGGGGCGAGGGUUACAUGUGCAGAUAUACGUCUUGCCCCAAAGUCUUGGAGAUGAGUUGGACCUGCAGGUAACAAAGGGGCAGUGGCGUUGCAGCACGGACAAUCGGAACAAUCCCUCAGCAAUGCGAGCAUUGAUCUGACCAAAUCACAAUCGACCGAGAGACAAUCAGUCAGGCUAAUAGUGGGGAGGGGAGGUAGAAUUGUGAGGUGGAAAGAGAACAGAGGAGGACUUAAAUUGCAAUCCCUAGACAGAAAAGAAGAAAAAGAGUUUAAAGUGUCUUUCUUCUCACUACACAUAGGACUACAUUUCGAGUCCCUGUAUCUGAAGUGAUGGAGGAUUGGAGAAGAUUUCAGGGACUUUCUUGUGACGCGUGCCUUCCUUACACCAGUCGCACCAGAGAUAAAGAUAACGUGUGUUUAGGAAAUCAGAGGUCAAAACAGAAAUCUUUGCACUUGUGUGGCGAUGAUUUGCCUGUAGUCUGCCCUGACUCUUGACAUAUGGGAAGGGGACAGGAUGGGUGGAAGGAAUAUGUGCUAUUGUAGAUACCUGUGCUUCUGGUGCCUGUAAAGGACAGUGGGAAAGACAGAGCAAGAGGAGGCCUUUGGGUAUAUGGUCCUUUCUGUGCACCGAAGCUCAGGGAGCAGGGAGGAUGUGUGACCCGGAGAGGAAGAAAGAAAUUUCCCAAAUGAGAAAAGGUUUUGAGGAUAAAGAGGCAAAGGGAUCCUAUGUGUGUGUGCGCGUGUGUGUGAUUUGCAAUCUGUUCACACCGGUACCGAGAAAAAGCGAGAAAAGCGCUAAAAAAAAAAAAAAAAAAAAAAAAUGCUGGGGAGCAGAGAUAAGGACAGGUGGUUUUAGUGUUUCUCCAAGCCUACCCUUCGUCUUUCCCAUCUCCCGGGCACGAACUUCGGGUAUUCAACCUUUUCCCAUACAGUCCACCAUCAAGUUCUCAGGGAGAGAGAAACUUACGGGAAAUGUCCUUUCUCUCUAGCUUUUGUAGAGGAAAGACCAGAAUCAUUCCUGGCCAGCACUUCUGCCCUGAGCUGGCCAUUUUAUUGCCCCGUGAUGAAUUAAGACCCAGAAAAACUAGGAUGAUUGUGCCUAAAGUAGUUAUAAAAGCAAUUGAGGGCGUUGCCUCCACAAAUGACUGAUUCGAUUAACCCAUCAUUACAGGUAAAAGGUAGAAUAUAACCUUGUUUCCCCUUCUUAAGCAUACAUUUCGAUGCCUUUCGAAGAAUUUACAUACUCCACGUUAGAUUUACGCUGCUUGAGGGUGAGGUCUGUUUUUAGCUUUCCUUUAUCUCCAGUGCUCAAGUGGUGGCUGAUCCGAGUAAGAGGGAUUGGCUGACUGACAGGGUUUUGCUUGGCUAGAACUGGUAUCGGGAUAUAGGGCCCUUCACUGGCAGCAGGCCGUGGAACACACCUUUCAGAAAUCUGAUUUCAGAAAUCAGGGCUAGGGCGUAUGUGUCCUCAAACUUAAGGGCUGAGGAAACUUUCAUUUCCCGCAGCUAUUGGGGCUGUGCUUCCUAAUGUGGGGAAUGUGGGCUAGAGAAAAAGUCAUUCAGCUUUCCAGAGGUAUGUGAGAUCUGGAAAAGGGCAGACUAUCUCUCUCACGGAUUUCCUCUUGCAGUUCCAAAUGUAUCGCCCAUUCUCCCAGAUUUCUAUUUGAGACAGGAGGAAGCUAGGGAGAAACUCGUUUGCCCAGACCCUGAAGCACAACUUUGAGAUUUUUUGUUGUUGCUGUUACCCCUUAUCUUUUCCAGUGAACUUUUUUCCUCUGGUAAUUAGAAAGGGAAGAGGGGAAAAAAGAGAAAGGAAGAAAAGCAAAACAGGAUAACACAAUGAAAACUCUCUUGCUAACUUGAAGCACAGGUUUCUGUCUUUUUUUUUUUUUUUUAAUAAUAGCAAGGCUUCUCCUGUCCUCUCUUCUUUCUCUCUUUCUCUGUCUCCCUUUUCUCCCUCUAUUUUCAUGCCACACAUAUCCUAUAGGAAACAUCCCAGGUUAUUGGGAUGCCAUGUUAUCUAAAACCCCAGAGAGAAGAUGAUCAGUGUGAAAGUUCAUAGACACACUUUCUACUACCAGAAUUCUUAAUGCCUGACUUCUGGUGCAUUUUUUUCUCCUAAAAGGUUCAUGUUUGAAUGAUCACAGACAGUAAGAUCGAGUAAAGGGAGAGGAGCAAGAAAUAUUAGUGCUAUUCUGUUAAAUUCUUAUAUUUAAUUUUCAUAGCCUAUUGAAUAACAUUCCUAAGAAUGGAGAUUUUGAAAAAGGGAAAAUUCCUUUUAGCUAAGAGAAGCUAUGAACUUUCUGGAUUCUAUUUUAAUGCUGUCUUAAGAGAGAAAUCUAUUUUUCUGUUUUUGUUACAAGUCAAGUAAAGAUUCAGCUUUUCCUAGGUGCCUGAAGUGAAGGAAGGCCAAAAAGAAAAAAAGGAAGAAAAAAAAUAGGAACACAAGGAAAAAAUUAUGGAAAAGGCACUGAACGGGAAAAAAAAAAAGGUAUAGACAGUAUUUAGAAUAGCAAGCUUCCAACCUGUUGGAGAUUUUCUCCAUCCCUUCAAUUAUCCUCCCAUUAUUUCUUCUCUGAUGUCACAACUUUUCUAUUGCUUUAUGUCUAGGACAUAGCUGAAUCUUGAGACCUAUCUUGGAGAAUAGAUAGAAAGUACUAGUACUUUUGACUAAAUUUAUUUGGGAUGAAAUUUGCCACAGUCAAAAUUUGCAAAGGGCAUGAAAGGAAAGGAGAAGAGAGAAAAGAAUAAUAGAGGAAGAAAAAGAUAAGAGAAAAUUAUAGCCAUAAAAAGAGUGUUUUCCACUUUUAAAAAGCAAGAAAUGGGAAUCAGAGGGGGAAAUUCAAUAAUCCCAGAAAUAUAAAAGGAAUGAAAAGCAGUAUCUAUCAAUGGAGGAAAAUAAUGUCCUAGCUGAAAUUUCAAAAACAGAUCUGAACUUUAAUAAAUCAGGCAUAGGAAGGAAGUUAUCACAGGCUCACUGGAUAGAGAGCUACUAAUUUUACCUGCACUUAUCAGCACUUCUUAAAAACAUCUUUUAAAAUAAUUCACAGUAGAAAUUGUUCCUAUAUUAAAACAAUCAGCAAUAAAAUGAGGGCCUUUUCUAACUGCUUGGCAAACUAGUUUGGAGUACUGAAUUUGGGAUUAUUUAUUGCUUAUUUACAGAAACUUGAAAUACAGAAUGAGUACAAGAAUAACCAAGAUUAAGGAAAAGUUAUAUUCUUACUACUUCUUCUCUAAUCCUGAUAGCUCCCCUGCCAAUGUAAAUACUAGCUAGGCAACUCUGAUGUUCAUCAACUGAAAAAUGAUUCUCCAUUCUCAUUAAUUAUUUAUUCUCCUCUAAUGAUGAAAUCUUUGGGUGUUUUCUUCUUCUCCAGGAAAGAAUCAGGAACAAGUACAGAACAAGAUUAUUUAAAUGUUUAGUAAUUUCUUGGAAAUCUAAAUUGAGCCACAAUUUCACUCCCUAAAGCACGGGUUCCAACAUGCUUUGGGUGAUGGAUCCCUUCUCAGUCCAGUGGCACCCAUGGAUUCUUUUUUCAGAAUGAUGCUUUAAUGUAUUAAAUAAAAUAUAUUAAGCAAUAACAGAAUACAAUUUUAUUGAAAAACAAAAUAUUUAGAAAAAUCAAGUUCACAGGUCAAAGAUUAAGAACUCCUGUUCAAUAGGUAUAAUAUACAAAAAACUUCUCUGGCCACUUUCAAAAAGGCUAAAUUUUGUCUCUCAUGAAUCUCCAAAUCUCCAGGUACCAUUUGAGGACCCAUAUUUUCAAACCAUAUGCACUCAAGUCUUGCUAUAUAACCCUCAGAAGGGAAAGUAGUAAAGAAAUAAUUCAUACCAACAAAGACAGUGUCAUAGUAUCCAAGUAAGAAUUAAUUUUUAAAGUUCUGGAAAGAACAUGAAAGACCUCCAUGAGAAAAACAUGGAUAUUAAGAAACUCAGGAAAUUCUUCUUCUAGGAUUUUAUUUGAUCAGUAAGUGUGUAGAGUAGAGCAUUAAAAAUGAAAGGAGAGAAAGGAAAGUUGAAAAACACAAGGCUCUGUGAAAUAAAUAUGCUUUCUUCUUCUCUGGUUGACCUGUAUAUAGCUCCCCUUCAAUUUAAUUUUCUUCUUUAACUAAAAAGAUGACAGUGUCAGACAAUUGUAACUUUGUGUGUUUAUUCCUCCUCAGAAUUCAGUUUUUCAAAUGGUUAUUUUUAGAAUGUGGUCAUGCACACUAAGAUGUCUUGAGUAUCCUCAUUAGCGUCUCCUGUUCUGAAUUAAGUUUUUUUGUUGUUCAUCAAGUUUUUCUUCAUCUACAACAGAUUGUCUUCAGUUUGUGUUUUUCUCCAAAACAGUAGCUUUCAGUGGACAGAGGAUUGGACCCAGAGUCAAGAAGACCUGAGUGUCAGACAUUUACUUACUGUAUGAGCCUGACCUAGUCAUUUAACCUCUGUCUGCCUCAGUUUCCUCAUCUGUAAAAUGUAGAUAAUAGUAUUACCUACCUCCUAGGAUUGUUGUGAGGAUGAAAUAAGAUAAUAUCUGAAAAAGAUUAUGCAAGUGGUAGUUAUUAAAUUUAAGUUAUUUAAUUAGACACAAUUAUUUAAUUGAUUUGAUUUUAAAGUAUUAUUAUUGUUAAAAAUAAAAACAAAUAUGCAUACAUUGAAGUUCACGAUUGAGUCAUUCUAGUUCUUCUGGAAUUCAGCCUAAAAUUUUUGUUUUGAUCUAAAAAGAGAGAUAUUUGAGAGGAGUAUAAGAUUUUUAACCCACAUCAUCAAAAUAUUUGUAUAACCCUUUCUUUUCCCUUAAACUGUAUAAAUGGAUAAGGCUGACAUUUAAGUAGAUUUAUUCACUACAUGGUGGCUUUCACUUUGAUGAGAUGUCAUGAAAAACAAACAGAAAACUUUUCAAGCUGAAUUUUUCUAGUGAUUAUUUUAAAGUCAUAGCAAAGAACAUAGCAGUAGAGGAAAUGCAAAAAUAUUCAAACUUUCCUAACUACUUGAUUUAUUCUCAGAAUUCAGUGAAAUUGUGUCAAAUUCAUUAAAUAAUUAAGUUUUCUAAAAUAUGUGAAUGUGUUUAUUCGUUCACCAAAACAAAGGGUAGAUAUUUUAAUUCAAUUUCCCCAUAGUUUUUGUUGGAUGUUUAGUGGGCUUUCCUAUACUACCAUACUUUCCCAAACUACCUCUCCCCACACUUGUUAGACUAAAAGAUGUUAAGAAAAUGCUUACUAUUUCCUUACGCAAGGAAAAUAAUAGUAUAUAUUCCCCUUCCCAAUUACAUUCAAGAACAUUUUUAGUAUUUGUUUUUACAAGAUUUUGAGUUCCAAAUUUUUCUUUUUCCUUUCCUUUCUUUCUUCCUCCCCUCCCCUCUUCCAAACAUAAUAGGCAGUUCGAUACAGUUGAUGCAUGUGCUAUCAUAUAAAAUAUACUUUUAUAUCAGUUGUGAAAGAAGAAACAGAUCAAAAGGUAAAUAUGAAAAAAGUAAAAAUAAUAUACUUCAAUCUGCAUCAGAGUUCAUCAGUUCUUUACUGGAUAUGGGUAGCAUUUUCCUUUUUGAAUCCUUUGUGCUUGUCUUGGAUCAUUUUGUUGCUGACUGAAUCAUUCAUAGUUGAUCAUCAUACAAUGUUGCUAAUACAGACUAUGUGCAAUGUUUUCUUGAUUCUGCUCAUUUCACUUUGCAUCAAUUCCUACAAGUCUUUCCAGGUUUUCUGAAAUCUGCCCAUUCAUGAUUUCUUAUUGUACAAUAAUAUUCCAUCACAUUCAUUUACUAAAGUUUAUUCAACCAUUCCCCAAUUGAUGGGCAUCCCCUCAAUUUUCAGUAUUUUACUACCAAGAAAAGGGUUACUAAAAUGUUUUUGUACAUAUAGAUCCUUUUCUCUUUUUAAGAUCUCUUGGGGAUACCACAGUAUAGUAUUGCUGAAUCAAAGCAUAUGCACAGUUUGGUUAUUCUUUGGGCAUAGUUCCAAAUUGCUUUUCAGAAUGGUUGGAUCAGCUCACAACUCUACCAACAAUGCAUUAGUGUCCCAAUUUUCCACAUUCUCUCCAACAGGAAAAUACUUUUCAUACUUAAUAUAUUAACUGUUAUCCCCUUCCCCAAUUUUUGGAUCAAUAGUGCAUUUGUAUCAUACUAAUAGCAACAAUAUCUAUCUCCAGAAGAAAGCGUUUCAUUAUUUAGAACCGAAGCCUCCAAACUUUUUUGACUGUUCACCCUAUCUGUAAAAAAAAAAAAAAAAAAAAAAAAAAAAAAAAAAUGAGCAUACAUCCCUAAAAUGUAUAUACAAUACACAGCAUUUACUCUUUAUGUUUUAUGUUAAAUCUCAAAACAUAAUGGAAAGGGAGCUAACCUUGAACCUAGGAAGACCUGCCCCUAAAACCUAGUGGCUAUGUGGCCCUGGGCAAGUCUAUUAAUCUCAUUGUGCCCUUGGAAAUUCUUUAAGUUUUUUAAGUAGCAGAGAAGGUGCUGACCUACUUA
Antechinus flavipes (yellow-footed antechinus) is the source of this 8173-nucleotide long non-coding RNA. RefSeq lists it as uncharacterized. The transcript has 2 exons. The record is from RefSeq and is a predicted model, not a curated record. Lineage: Eukaryota; Metazoa; Chordata; Mammalia; Dasyuromorphia; Dasyuridae.